GAGCGGUAAGGCCCUUCGGGGUACACGAGCGGCGAACGGGUGAGUAACACGUGGGUGAUCUGCGCUGUACUUCGGGAUAAGCCUGGGAAACUGGGUCUAAUACCGGAUAUGACCUUCGGUUGCAUGACCGAGGGUGGAAAGAUUUAUCGGUACAGGAUGGGCCCGCGGCCUAUCAGCUUGUUGGUGGGGUAAUGGCCUACCAAGGCGACGACGGGUAGCCGGCCUGAGAGGGCGACCGGCCACACUGGGACUGAGACACGGCCCAGACUCCUACGGGAGGCAGCAGUGGGGAAUAUUGCACAAUGGGCGAAAGCCUGAUGCAGCGACGCCGCGUGAGGGAUGACGGCCUUCGGGUUGUAAACCUCUUUCGACAGGGACGAAGCGCAAGUGACGGUACCUGUAGAAGAAGCACCGGCCAACUACGUGCCAGCAGCCGCGGUAAUACGUAGGGUGCGAGCGUUGUCCGGAAUUACUGGGCGUAAAGAGCUUGUAGGCGGUUCGUCGCGUCGUUCGUGAAAACUUGGGGCUCAACCCCAAGCUUGCGGGCGAUACGGGCGGACUAGAGUACUUCAGGGGAGACUGGAAUUCCUGGUGUAGCGGUGAAAUGCGCAGAUAUCAGGAGGAACACCGGUGGCGAAGGCGGGUCUCUGGGAAGUAACUGACGCUGAGAAGCGAAAGCGUGGGUAGCGAACAGGAUUAGAUACCCUGGUAGUCCACGCCGUAAACGGUGGGUACUAGGUGUGCGUAUCCUUCCACGGGAUCCGUGCCGUAGCUAACGCAUUAAGUACCCCGCCUGGGGAGUACGGCCGCAAGGCUACAGCUCGAAGGAAUUGACGUGGACCGGCACAAGCGGCGGAGCAUGUGGAUUAAUUCGAUGCA
This 879-nucleotide ribosomal RNA is filed under the name Nocardia neocaledoniensis. Its description in RNAcentral is "bacterial SSU rRNA". It matches the Rfam family "Bacterial small subunit ribosomal RNA", at positions 64 to 958 of the family's 1533-position model. Lineage: Bacteria; Bacillati; Actinomycetota; Actinomycetes; Mycobacteriales; Nocardiaceae. The record is from RNAcentral.